This 253-nucleotide ribosomal RNA is filed under the name uncultured bacterium. Its description in RNAcentral is "partial 16S ribosomal RNA". It matches the Rfam family "Bacterial small subunit ribosomal RNA", at positions 524 to 776 of the family's 1533-position model. The record is from RNAcentral.
UACGUAGGGGGCAAGCGUUGUCCGGAAUCAUUGGGCGUAAAGCGCGUGUAGGCGGCUGGGUAAGUCCGCUCUGAAAGCCCGGGGCUCAACCCCGGGAGGCGGGUGGAUACUGCUCAGCUCGAGUCCGGAAGAGGAGUGUGGAAUUCCUGGUGUAGCGGUGAAAUGCGCAGAUAUCAGGAGGAACACCAAUGGCGAAGGCAGCACUCUGGGACGGUACUGACGCUGAGGUACGAAAGCUAGGGGAGCGAACAGG